UACAGAGGUGGCAAGCGUUGUUCGGAAUUACUGGGCGUAAAGGGCGCGUAGGCGGCCGAGCAAGUCCCGUGUGAAAUCCCCCGGCUCAACUGGGGAACUGCACGGGAUACUGCCCGGCUCGAGUUCGGGAGAGGGAAGCGGAAUUCCGGGUGUAGCGGUGAAAUGCGCAGAUAUCCGGAGGAACACCAGCGGCGAAGGCGGCUUCCUGGACCGACACUGACGCUGAGGCGCGAAAGCUAGGGGAGCAAACGGG
Molecule: ribosomal RNA, 253 nt
Filed under: uncultured bacterium
Lineage: Bacteria
Description: partial 16S ribosomal RNA
Rfam family: Bacterial small subunit ribosomal RNA
Source: RNAcentral